AAUCAGGCCUAUCUGAGUAUCUUAUUUCUUACAGGGGAAAGUCUGCCAUGACUAAGGAUGCACAAUUUGCCCUUCGUAGAGGCAACAUUUGUUUUUUACUUUUCUUGGCAUUUUUAUUCAAUUUGAUUAUAAUUUAUGAAAAUCUCUGCAUCAUUUGCUUUUCAGUGAUUGAGAAAUACACCAAAAGCAAUAUAUUUGCAUUAAUUUGCAACAAUGUCAAUAAAAUUAUUUCAGCACUGCAAGCAAGAUGUACAAGGUUCUGCUUUGCCCCCCUUGAUGCUGUUCAUGUCAGGGAGAGGCUCAAACAUGUAAUUGAAUCUGAAGGCUUGAUGUUCCGGAAAAUGGUAUGACAGCUCUUGUAAAGCUUAGUAAUGGUGAUAUAUAGAAAAGCUUUGAAUAUUUUGCAGUCAACACAUAUGGCCUGCCAGCAGAUCACGGAAGAAGCUGUUUACUUGUGCACUGGGAAUCCGUUGCCUAAAGACAUUGAGCAGAUUUCCCAUUGGCUCCUUAUGUUUACAUCAGUUCACAUAACUUAGAGCUGACUAUAACUCAGUCAUCUAUUUAGGAAAGACAACUGGAUUUCAAUGUGUUACUAUAUACUAUUGCACAUACUUCUUUGCAGAUAUAGGUUGAGCAUGGCAUGCAAUGAGAAGCUGCAGCUGGGCUCAUUAAUUGCUGCUUUUACACGAGCUAGAGGUUCGAUAGUUGCUGCUACAGAAUGACGAUCAUGUCUUGACGAGUUUUUCUUAGUGUGGUACUCCUUCUAUGUUACCAUACAGUAACAACUAACUCCAUUUCGUAGUUUGAUUGAUUGCAGUGUAUAUUUUUCUACUUGAGAGAUGUGAACUUUAUCUCUGUAUCUUUGAUAGGCUUAUAUCAAUUGUCUUAACACUUAUAGCUUCCAUUUUAUCCAUU
Long non-coding RNA from Salvia hispanica, 915 nucleotides. RefSeq lists it as uncharacterized. Lineage: Eukaryota; Viridiplantae; Streptophyta; Magnoliopsida; Lamiales; Lamiaceae. The record is from RefSeq and is a predicted model, not a curated record.